GAUGAACGCUGGCGGCGUGCCUAAUACAUGCAAGUCGAACGCAUUGUGGUUGAAAUGAUAUGAAGAACUUGUUCAGAUUUGAUUUUCAACAUUGCAAUGAGUGGCGAACGGGUGAGUAACACGUGGGAAACCUACCUCUUAGCAGGGGAUAACAUUUGGAAACAAAUGCUAAUACCGUAUAAUAAUUAAAACCGCAUGGUUUUAGUUUAAAAGAUGGUCUUGCUAUCACUAAGAGAUGGUCCCGCGGUGUAUUAGUUAGUUGGUGAGGUAAUGGCUCACCAAGACAAUGAUACAUAGCCGAGUUGAGAGACUGACCGGCCACAAUGGGACUGAGACACGGCCCAUACUCCUACGGGAGGCGAGCAGUAGGGAAGUAC
Molecule: ribosomal RNA, 377 nt
Filed under: uncultured bacterium
Lineage: Bacteria
Description: bacterial SSU rRNA
Rfam family: Bacterial small subunit ribosomal RNA
Source: RNAcentral